GACGAACGCUGGCGGCGUGCUUAACACAUGCAAGUCGAACGGAAAGGCCCUGCUUUUGUGGGGUGCUCGAGUGGCGAACGGGUGAGUAACACGUGAGUAACCUGCCCUUGACUUUGGGAUAACUUCAGGAAACUGGGGCUAAUACCGGAUAGGAGCUCCUGCUGCAUGGUGGGGGUUGGAAAGUUUCGGCGGUUGGGGAUGGACUCACGGCUUAUCAGCUUGUUGGUGGGGUAGUGGCUUACCAAGGCUUUGACGGGUAGCCGGCCUGAGAGGGUGACCGGCCACAUUGGGACUGAGAUACGGCCCAGACUCCUACGGGAGGCAGCAGUGGGGAAUAUUGCACAAUGGGCGGAAGCCUGAUGCAGCAACGCCGCGUGCGGGAUGACGGCCUUCGGGUUGUAAACCGCUUACGCCUGUGACGAAGCGUGAGUGACGGUAAUGGGUAAAGAAGCACCGGCUAACUACGUG
This 468-nucleotide ribosomal RNA is filed under the name uncultured bacterium. RNAcentral's name for it is "partial 16S ribosomal RNA". It matches the Rfam family "Bacterial small subunit ribosomal RNA", at positions 28 to 507 of the family's 1533-position model. The record is from RNAcentral.